RNAcentral lists this small nuclear RNA (123 nucleotides) under Rhipicephalus sanguineus (brown dog tick). RNAcentral's name for it is "U5 spliceosomal RNA". It matches the Rfam family "U5 spliceosomal RNA". From Rfam's summary of the family: U5 RNA is a component of both types of known spliceosome. The record is from Rfam by way of RNAcentral. Lineage: Eukaryota; Metazoa; Arthropoda; Arachnida; Ixodida; Ixodidae.
UCGCUCGUGCCUCCCCUCAUGUGUUCGCACUAACCUUUCGCCUUUUACUAAAGAUUACACUGGGGAGGGGCACUUCAAUGAGCCUUAAGGCCAAUUUUUUAAAGGCCCUGCCUGUUUGGGCGG